RNAcentral lists this long non-coding RNA (472 nucleotides) under Malus domestica (apple). Its description in RNAcentral is "long non-coding RNA (MDOM_LNC011712)". The record is from RNAcentral. Lineage: Eukaryota; Viridiplantae; Streptophyta; Magnoliopsida; Rosales; Rosaceae.
GUAAACCGUUUUCGAUUUGUAUUAUUUUUGUUCAUAUAUGUAAGCAUUUAUGUUUUUCAUGCAUGUUGCAGCAGCUGCCACUCUGCAUUAGCCACUUCGAAUGGAUAUCCAAUAACAAUUUUUUAGAUUGUGUAGUUAUGUGUGUUAAACGAUCGAAAGAAGCAGUGAUUCCCUUAGUGUUGGAUUCUGGAUCACUGGGUUCAUGCUUUACCUUGUGAACUACAUGUCUAUGACCUUGCUUUCAAAGAAGUUUUGUUUAUUUUUGCUUUUCCGUUUGCAUGAAACAUCAUCAUCACUGUACAUACCUUUUCGUUCAUCAUCACUGUACAUACCUUGUCGUUUAACAGAUACGGGUCGUUGAGCGAAAUUGUGAAAUUCCACAUGAGGGGCCAUUUUGUGAUCUCAUGUGGAGCGAUCCUGAAGAUAUUGAAACAUGGGCAGUAAGUCCACGAGGAGCAGGUUGGCUGUUUGG